Molecule: ribosomal RNA, 468 nt
Filed under: uncultured bacterium
Lineage: Bacteria
Description: bacterial SSU rRNA
Rfam family: Bacterial small subunit ribosomal RNA
Source: RNAcentral
GAAAGCUGACGAAGCUUACACAUGCAAGUCGCACUCGAGUCUUCGGACUUGGGUGGCGCACGGGUGAGUAACGCGUAAAGAACUUGCCUCUUAGACCGGGACAACAUCUGGAAACGGAUGCUAAUACCGGAUAUUAUGGUUUUUUCGCAUGGAGGAAUCAUGAAAGCUAGAUGCGCUAAGAGAGAGCUUUGCGUCCCAUUAGCUAGUUGGUGAGGUAACGGCCCACCAAGGCAAUGAUGGGUAGCCGGCCUGAGAGGGUGAACGGCCACAAGGGGACUGAGACACGGUCCUUACUCCUACGGGAGGCAGCAGUGGGGAAUAUUGGACAAUGGACCACAAGUCUGAUCCAGCAAUUCUGUGUGCACGAUGACGUUUUUCGGAAUGUAAAGUGCUUUCAGUCGGGAAGAAGUCAGUGACGGUACCGACAGAAGAAGCGGCGGCUAAAUACGUGCCAGCAGCCGCGGUAAU